UACGUAGGGUGCGAGCGUUGCCCGGAUUUAUUGGGCGUAAAGGGCGCGCAGGCGGCUACGCACGUCCGUUGUGAAACCGCUCGGCUCAACUGGGCGGGGUCAGCGGAUACGGCGUGGCUGGAGCAAGCUAGGGGGCAAUGGAAUUCCCGGUGUAGUGGUGGAAUGCGUAGAUAUCGGGAGGAACACCAGUGGCGAAGGCGGUUGCCUGGAGCUUUGCUGACGCUGAGGCGCGAAAAGCGUGGGGGAGCGAUCCGG
This 255-nucleotide ribosomal RNA is filed under the name uncultured bacterium. Its description in RNAcentral is "partial 16S ribosomal RNA". It matches the Rfam family "Bacterial small subunit ribosomal RNA", at positions 524 to 776 of the family's 1533-position model. The record is from RNAcentral.